RNAcentral lists this ribosomal RNA (296 nucleotides) under uncultured bacterium. RNAcentral describes it as "partial 16S ribosomal RNA". It matches the Rfam family "Bacterial small subunit ribosomal RNA", at positions 335 to 648 of the family's 1533-position model. The record is from RNAcentral.
UUCCCUACGGGAGGCAGCAGUGGGGGAUAUUGCACAAUGGGGGGAACCCUGAUGCAGCGACGCCGCGUGGGUGAAGAAGCGCCUCGGCGCGUAAAGCCCUGUCAGCAGGGAAGAAAAUGACGGUACCUGAAGAAGAAGCCCCGGCUAACUACGUGCCAGCAGCCGCGGUAAUACGUAGGGGGCAAGCGUUAUCCGGAUUUACUGGGUGUAAAGGGAGCGUAGACGGCGAUGCAAGUCUGAAGUGAAAGGCGGGGGCCCAACCCCCGGACUGCUUUGGAAACUGUAUGGCUGGAGUG